RNAcentral lists this ribosomal RNA (384 nucleotides) under Tunebia hatagumoana. RNAcentral's name for it is "partial 12S ribosomal RNA". Lineage: Eukaryota; Metazoa; Arthropoda; Malacostraca; Decapoda; Xanthidae. The record is from RNAcentral.
UUAGAUACCCUAUUAUACUAGCGUUAACCUGAAUUAUUAUUAGAUAUUUUCUUAAAAGUUAAAGAAUUUGGCGGUAAUUUAGUCUUGUUAGAGGAACCUGUUUUUGAAUCGAUACACCACGAAUAAUCUUACUUAUCCUUAAUAACUAAAGCAAAGUUUUUAUACCAUCAUUAUCAGAUAAUUUUAAAAGGGUAAUUAUUACUAUCUAAUAAAUUAAGUAAAAUUAGAUCAAGGUGAAGCUAAUGGGUAAGUUAAAAUGGGUUACAAUAAAUUUUAUUUACUAUGAAUUAAUAUUUUAAACUAAUAUUAUAAAAGAGGAUUUAAUUGUAAUUAAAAUUUAAUAAGUUUUGAAGAUAUAAGCCCUAAAUUAUGUACAUAUCGCCG